UACGUAGGUGGCAAGCGUUGUCCGGAUUUACUGGGCGUAAAGAGCGCGCAGGCGGUCGUUCAAGUCGCGUGUGAAAGCCCCCGGCUCAACUGGGGAGGGUCACGCGAUACUGAUCGACUCGAAGGCAGGAGAGGGAAGUGGAAUUCCCGGUGUAGUGGUGAAAUGCGUAGAUAUCGGGAGGAACACCAGUGGCGAAGGCGACCUCCUGGCCUGUUCUUGACGCUGAGGCGCGAAAGCUAGGGGAGCAAACGGG
This 253-nucleotide ribosomal RNA is filed under the name uncultured bacterium. RNAcentral describes it as "partial 16S ribosomal RNA". It matches the Rfam family "Bacterial small subunit ribosomal RNA", at positions 524 to 776 of the family's 1533-position model. The record is from RNAcentral.